This 75-nucleotide transfer RNA is filed under the name Bacillus subtilis subsp. subtilis str. BSP1. RNAcentral describes it as "tRNA-Glu". The record is from RNAcentral. Lineage: Bacteria; Bacillati; Bacillota; Bacilli; Caryophanales; Bacillaceae.
GUGGGUCGGCGCAUUGAAUCAGGCAGAUUACAGAACAUACAUCAAACCCGUGAUGAACCGGAUCUUUUCAGAGCU